ACGAUGGUUUCCGCCAUUCUUCUAUGCUUUGUUGAAAGUCUUUCUUGUGAGUAUUAUAGUCUCAGACGUGUGUCUGCAACACCCACCACCGCGCCACGCCACGCCACCCCGCCUCACCUGGGACCAUCCCAUUAUCUCUCUAAAUUGAAGAAAGAGAGAAAGAGAAAGCGCGCGUGCGUGAGAGAGAAAGAGAAAACAAUACUAACAACAAAGUCAUGAUGUGGGAAGCUGGAGAAUCGCCAGCAUCUUCCUCCGCCGGCGCCGGCGCAGGUGGAAGUGGAGGAGGUGAUGGAGUUGGCCUACCGGGAAGUGGUGGUGGUGGGAGGAGGAAACCAUCAUGGAGAGAAAGAGAGAAUAAUAGAAGAAGAGAGAGAAGGAGGAGAGCUGUAGCUGCUAAGAUUUAUACUGGAUUAAGAGCUCAAGGAAACUAUAAUCUUCCUAAACACUGUGAUAACAAUGAAGUUCUUAAAGCUCUUUGUACUGAAGCUGGUUGGAUCGUUGAACCUGAUGGUACCACUUAUCGCAAGGGAUGCAAGCCAACCCCGAUGGAGAUUGGAGGCACUUCAGCAAACAUCACACCAAGUUCUUCACGGCAUCCAAGUCCCCCGUCAUCAUACUUUGCUAGCCCAAUUCCAUCUUAUCAGCCGAGUCCAACUUCCUCUUCUUUCCCCAGUCCAUCCCGUGCUGAUGCUAACAUGUCAUCACACCCAUAUUCUUUUCUCCAUAAUGUCAUUCCUUCAUCCCUUCCUCCAUUACGAAUAUCAAACAGUGCCCCUGUAACGCCACCUCUUUCAUCACCAACUAGGCAUCCUAAGCAGACAUUCAAUUUAGAGACUUUGGCCAAAGAAUCAAUGUUUGCUUUAAACAUCCCUUUCUUUGCUGCUUCAGCCCCAGCUAGCCCAACUCGGGGUCAGCGUUUUACUCCUCCCACUAUACCUGAGUGUGACGAAUCUGACUCAUCUACCAUUGAUUCCGUCCAGUGGAUCAACUUUCAAAAGUAUGCGACAAACGUUCCACAUUCUCCAACAUUUAAUCUUGUAAAACCUGUGCCUCAGCCACUACGUCCUAAUGAUAUGGUCACAGACAAGGGUAAGAGCAUAGACUUUGACUUUGAAAAUGUAUCGGUCAAGGCAUGGGAAGGUGAAAGGAUUCACGAUGUAGGAUUCGAUGAUCUGGAACUCACUCUUGGAAGUGGCAGUGCUCGCAUAUGAUUGGGAUUCUCUGAUUUAGUUAGCUGAUGAAGGCACUUUGUGUUCCAGUGGAUUGUACGAGCUUCGUCUGGGACUAUGCAUCUUGUUAUCAGAUCCCUGAAAAGGGAUGAAUAGGGCUUUGAUAAGAACCAAAUGGUUGUGUUUCAUUCCAAUUUGUGAUAACACUGACUAAAAGUGACGACAUUCACCAGAAAGUACAAGUAGCAAACACUGAAAAUAAUAUAAGAAAACUUCACUUGAGAUGGUUUGGCAAUGAUCUAAAAUGGUGAAUCAAGGUGAUCAAGUAGAGACCUAAAAUCACACACAAGGAGUUGUCUUGAAAUACCUACAAUAUUUUGCAGACUCAGUGAAAGUUUUGCGUGGGAUAAAUAAAUGAAGGAUCUGCCUGAGUCCCUUGAUAGCGUGUUGUGUUGGUAGAUAAGAACCUUAACAACUAUGUAUAGUAACUGUGAGACUUGCAAAUACCUUCAUUUUCAUCACGUAUUAUCAUGUGUAAUUUCACCAAAUUUGGACCUUCGCCUUACUUGGUAGCAUGUUGCAUUCUUACCU
This is an RNA transcript of Solanum dulcamara, 1760 nucleotides long. It is a transcript of the gene named protein BRASSINAZOLE-RESISTANT 1-like, with no coding region annotated. The record is from RefSeq and is a predicted model, not a curated record. The transcript is spliced from 4 exons. NCBI's taxonomy places the organism in Eukaryota, Viridiplantae, Streptophyta, Magnoliopsida, Solanales, Solanaceae.